CCGACCGUGCACUUCUUCUAUACUACAAGAAAUUUAUCUUCAUUUAAUACGUUUAAACAGUUAUUGUCUAGUAAAGAAUUACGUUAUUUCUGAUAAAGAACUAUGCCUUUUUCGCUGGCGUAAAUCCACUGCAUUAGGAUCGGGAGACUUAGGCGCACCAUUAAUGGGAGAACUAACCGAUUAUCACAGGAAGACAUUAUUAGGUAUCAGUAGUCACACUUUUGAUAAUUCGACUCGAUUCGAAAUUUUUACAUCGAUUAAAGUUUAUUAUGAUUGGAUAAUAGAAAAUAGUGAAGGAAAUUUAAGUUUUUUACUUUGAUUUCUAUAUUCGAAAAAUUAUGACAACUGACAGCAAGAAAUUCGGCUUGAAAGCGUUGGUAGGUCUACAUGAAAUUAUUGUGAUUUAAUUGAUAUUCUUUGAUUUAAUGAAAUACUUAUUUUAAUGAUUCAAUACGGUGAUCUUCAAAAUUAUAUUCUAUUUGGUCCCCUCUGGCAGAUUUUUGUAGAACUCUAAGGCAAGAACUGUGAAGUACGUGUGAAGAACAUUUCGGUACUAUUGUUAUUCUUUGAAUGAGAAGGAUUAGUUUCAAAAGUUUGGAUAAAGUUUAAAAAUUUUUAUUUUUCAAUGUUUUGAGGAAAAAAUUAUAAAAAUAUUGAAUGUUGCUUUGGAAUUCUACAACUUAUGGAAAAAUGUAUUCGAACAUAGUUUAAGAAAAUAAAAUAUUUUAAUUUAAACAAGAAUAUAAAAAUGUAAUGUUUAAAACAAAAAUAAACAUUUUUGUUCAUUGGGUU
Centruroides sculpturatus (bark scorpion) is the source of this 792-nucleotide long non-coding RNA. RefSeq lists it as uncharacterized. NCBI's taxonomy places the organism in Eukaryota, Metazoa, Arthropoda, Arachnida, Scorpiones, Buthidae. The transcript is spliced from 2 exons. The record is from RefSeq and is a predicted model, not a curated record.